AGUAGAAUAGUUGAGACCAACAUUAAAUUGCAGAUUUAAAAACGUAAUAAUAAUUACUUCUACUU
RNAcentral lists this transfer RNA (65 nucleotides) under Enchytraeus irregularis. RNAcentral's name for it is "tRNA-Cys". Lineage: Eukaryota; Metazoa; Annelida; Clitellata; Enchytraeida; Enchytraeidae. The record is from RNAcentral.